ACUUGGAUAGCUUAAAUUUUAAAGCUUAAUAUUGAAGCUAUUAUGAUAAGAACUAACUCUUUCCAGGUG
This 69-nucleotide transfer RNA is filed under the name Mictis tenebrosa. RNAcentral's name for it is "tRNA-Phe". Lineage: Eukaryota; Metazoa; Arthropoda; Insecta; Hemiptera; Coreidae. The record is from RNAcentral.